This 253-nucleotide ribosomal RNA is filed under the name uncultured bacterium. Its description in RNAcentral is "partial 16S ribosomal RNA". It matches the Rfam family "Bacterial small subunit ribosomal RNA", at positions 524 to 776 of the family's 1533-position model. The record is from RNAcentral.
UACGAAGGGGGCUAGCGUUGCUCGGAAUCACUGGGCGUAAAGCGCACGUAGGCGGCUGUGUCAGUCAGGGGUGAAAUCCCGGAGCUCAACUUCGGAACUGCCCUUGAUACAGCACGUCUUGAGUCCGGAAGAGGUGGGUGGAAUUCCUAGUGUAGAGGUGAAAUUCGUAGAUAUUAGGAAGAACACCGGUGGCGAAGGCGGCCCACUGGUCCGGUACUGACGCUGAGGUGCGAAAGCGUGGGGAGCAAACAGG